AAGGAAGGAAGCAAAAGACCUGAAGGAUAAGAUGAGACAAGGCUGAAGCAGGAUCAUUAAGUCAUAAACCUGGAGCACCUGGAUAGUGAGUAGAGUGAAAACAAGCUCAGGGCUCCCACUGAUUGUACAUUAUGGUGAGACGUGGUCUUGUAACACAGUGGUUAAGAAUGUGACUUUGGAGCCAGCCUGCUAGGGGCUGAAUUCUGACUCAGCCAUUUAUUAACUGUGUGACCUUAGGGAGGAGGACCUGGUUGAUAGAAGAAUUUAUCUCAUAGUCUUAACAUCCACUGUAAUUCCGAACUUUGAGGACGAUAGAGAUCAGUGGGCUUUGACUGCCCAGCAUGCAGUCUCCAUUCUUAGAUGGAGUCUCACUCUGUAGCCCAAGCUGGAGUGGCGUGAUCUCGACUCACUGCAACCUCCGCCUCCUGGGCUCAAGUGAUUCUCGUGCCUCAGCCUCCUGAGUAGCUGGGACUACAGGUCAUAGAAUUUUCCACACUCCUUGACGGAGGUUCUUAACCCUUAUCCAUCAGCAUUCUCAGACAGCACCUCCGGUUAGGGACAGUAUCUGACCGUCCGACAUCCCUGCAGCCCCCAUGCUGUCACACAGACUCAGCCUCAGGUAGAUGGUUUCCGUAGAUGGUGGCUUUCUUUGGACCCUUGAUAUCAACCAGUUACUAUUUGGGGACCAGAUGUGCAGAGGUAAUGAAUACCAGGGAAUCAGGAAACCACUGGAUCAGUUCUUUGAGCCAUAGAACAACACUCAUCCCAGCAGCUGGGAAGCUAUCUGCAAAAGUCCAUCUGCAGAAAGGGCUUCCUGGUCUUGCGUGUGGCUGGGCCAUUUCUCUGGAUGCAGGUUUUUCAUUAUACAGUCUUCUCAAAGGACCACCUGCUCUCAACACCUUCUCGGUGACUCCAUUUCCCCUCCUCU
Molecule: non-coding RNA, 928 nt
Filed under: Pongo abelii (Sumatran orangutan)
Lineage: Eukaryota; Metazoa; Chordata; Mammalia; Primates; Hominidae
Source: RNAcentral